Molecule: long non-coding RNA, 3182 nt
Filed under: Hordeum vulgare
Lineage: Eukaryota; Viridiplantae; Streptophyta; Magnoliopsida; Poales; Poaceae
Description: long non-coding RNA (HVUL_LNC015603)
Source: RNAcentral
UAUGUGUAGAUACAACAUGGCAUCGCAACAUAACUCUACAACACAUCAUUUAUUUAUAAGGCUCCAAAGAGCCAACAUAGUAUAAUGUUACGAACAGAGUGGGUCACAUGAACCAACAUUCAGAGCAUACAAACAUCAAGCGGAAGUUACAGGUCUGGGUACAGACAUCUACUAAAAGCAGCUGGAAGAGCGUGAAAAGCUACAAUGACCCUACCAUAGGAGCCACAUCACUAUGUGGGUUCCCAAGCUAAUCCAUCCAUGUUAACGUCAAGAGGUAAACGUAGAGAGAACAACGUCUAUCCCUGCAAAAAUUUAAAUAAGCAACAAUGAAUACGAAGGUACUCACCCAGACCUACAUGAGAACUAACUACAUUUUCAUCAUGCAUCAAUGAACGGGAUUGUGGGGUUACUGCAGAAAUGCCAGCUUUGACCUUUGGCUAACCUAAACUACAACAAUAUUUCAUACCUCUCUCGUAUCCCUAUGAGAAAGCAUACACGAGUCCACGUAUCCACCACAUCAAUACACCACCAUGAUGGAUCGUCUCUCGCCAUCCUACGAGAAGGCCAUCCAUAGCACACACACUUAUCUGGACCAUUUUAGAGCAUCUGUUAAAUUUGUCUAUGAACCAUGCAACUGUCUAAGUAGUCCAUAUCCGAGGAUGCGGCUAUUCGAAUAGAUAAUUACCCUCAGGGGUGUACUUCGUCAAACAUGCUCCCUCCACUUAUCGCCAUCUGCACAUAAAACAAGCACCUCGGCAACCUUCAAGCGGAAGCCCAGCGAGGGAGUCGGCCAUAGACGUUAACUCACAAUGACUCACAUCCAAGGCAGUCGCCCAUCUGAGUUGAAACCCAUAAUGGAAGUCCACCGAGGCUUCCAACAUGGCCUCAAACGAUGUGAGCAGGGCCCCAAGCCGGCCCGAUUGGGCCGUUCAACCACGUCGCAAGCCCGACAACAACCUAUGAAUGUUUCGAACCAAUGUAACUCCUGGACUGAGAACAGAGAAGUUAAUAGGCCAAGAGAUCUCGUAUUACCGAAGCCCAAUGUGCGAUAGUAGCUAGUCUUGGAACACCAACACAAGAUCUCAGGUCCUAAGUGUGGCAUCAAUGAGACAACCCACCAUGUACUCCUACAUGGACUCUCAUCUCUACCUUUACCGAAACUCCUAUUAGGACAUGAUCAUUCCAAUUCAUCAUCCAUAUGAUUAGACCAACUCAACUCUAAGCAUAACAAGCAUAUCAGGGUAAUGGCACAACAUGGCUCAAGCAUCUACCAGGUAUGCUAGGUUGCUUGGUAUAGUUGAAUCAUUUUGUCCUAAUGCAUUGAAAUGAGAGCAAGAGCGAGAGAGUGGGAUUGUAUCGGAAUGCUCAAGGGGAGGUUGAUUGCCUGUUGAUCAGAAAAACUCAGCUAUUCUUUGAUGUGGUUGAUAACUAUAUCUCGCAAGUCUAUCCACAAGAUCAAACAAGGUACAUAUUAAGCACGACAAAUGCUUCACGAUGAUGCAUGAGUAUUGCAUGUUAAUAUGAUGCUUGUUUUGUCUAAUGCAGGUGACCUCAAAUUAAAUGGAAGUUAUUUGAUCCAUAUUGAUCAAUUCUAAACUGCAUAUAAAAACAUUUAAUGCCUUUAAUGAAAUUGACAUAUCCAGCAAGUUUAAGUGGUUCAAACAUGCAUGAAAAUGCCACCAUCAGAUUCAUUGGAUUUUUCUCAUAAUUUUUCAUAUAUAAUUUAUUUAUUUGGAGCUAUAGAUUAAUUUCUAUUAUUUUUUAAAUUUAAGCCAUUUUCUAGAAUAAUUUAAACUCAGAAAACAAAUACCGUAUCAUGCUUGCAUCAGCAAGUCAGCAACGCUAGCCCAGGUCAAACCUAACGUGCGGGGUCCGCACGUGAGCGAUACAGGGACUAACCAGGGGUAAAUGAUGUGGCCAUUAGUGUUGAAGCUAUAGUCAAUCAAUAUAUGUUUUAUAUUGGUUCUGUUCUCGUGUAAAUGCCAGCAGCUGAUCCCCAAAAGGAAGCGAUCAGGCUGAACUUCAGAACGCCUCCUUGCAAUUGGUGUUUCGUUGGAAAUAAGUUUCCAGUACGAUUCGAUGUAGGGACGUGAGAGCCAAGUUUUCCUUUGUUUUAUCCAGUAGUACCAGACACAUAGCUGGUAGUUAGUUUGUUAGGUGAUCAGCGUGGCGGAAUAAUUAAAUUGUUUAUAUAUUAUUUAGUUGAGACGGGAAAGAGGGAGAGUCCUUGCUACUUCGGUUUGUUUGGUAGGUCGGUAUCGGAGACGUACUUUGCCUAUAUAACGGGCUGGCUAUGUCCGAUGUAAGGAGGUUAGUUUUUGAUUGGAAGUUAUGCAGAGAAAACGUCCCAUGUCGGGGGACACCAAAUAUUGUCCUAGUUGUUGAUCCAUUUGAAUUUUGUUGCUACCCUGCGUGGAGUUAAUCUAAUAUAUUCAACGCUAGUUUUUGAUCUUAUGGUCCUGCUUCUUUGCUCGACCAAAAUUUCUUAUUGCUGCUAUUACCGUGAAAGAUCGGGAUGACGAAUGACUCACCAUUUAGUCGAGUCUAUAUCAGUUAAUCCCGCAUUGACCCAGCUUGGACCAGUUGUGGGGCCUAGCGUCAGUGGCUAAUGGCAUGUUAAUUAGCGGCUAAACGGUCAACCACGUCAGAAGUCGUCGUAGCUUCGCCCGCGGCGACCAGAACAGCGGCGACAGUUCGUCGGAAAUUGCUACGGGGCUUGGUUUGGAGCGCCGAGAGCAAUGGGAUGCUACCCAGGCUCGGCCGCAUCCAGGGACAGGUGUGGCUGGUCGCGGGGGUGCCGGAGCUCGCCGACAAUGAGCUCGUGGCGGCGGCCGGAGCUCGGCCACGGUGGGCUAGCGCUAGGAGGCGUAGGAGAGCAGGGAGAAUGACGGAAAGUGCGAGGUGGCUGACCACGAGGCGGCUGGAGGUGACGGGGAUCUCGGGGGAGCUCAAAUCCUUGCGCAUCAACAACGGAUGUCUCUGGCGGCCGGAGAUGGAAAUUGUGGCGGUGAUGGCGCUACAGGGCUCCUGUCUUCGAUUCCCUUUGCUGGAAGGAUGAGGGAGUCGCUGUGGUUCUUCUGGCAUGCACAGGGGAGCGAGCAGGGGCCGGUAGCCGUGAAUACGGCGAGCGGCGCUUGCGGUGGCGCUCGGGUCUUGGCGGGAGAGAGAGAAAUAGAGCGAGA